RNAcentral lists this transfer RNA (91 nucleotides) under Hapsidospora chrysogenum ATCC 11550. Its description in RNAcentral is "Acremonium chrysogenum ATCC 11550 tRNA". It matches the Rfam family "tRNA". From Rfam's summary of the family: Transfer RNA (tRNA) molecules are approximately 80 nucleotides in length. The record is from Rfam by way of RNAcentral. Lineage: Eukaryota; Fungi; Ascomycota; Sordariomycetes; Hypocreales; Bionectriaceae.
GGUCGCGUGGCCCAAUGGCAAGGCGUUUGACUACGAUACGUUUCUAAUACGGUCUAUCAAAAGAUUGCGAGUUCGAUCCUCGCCGUGACCU